UAGGGAAUUUUCGUUCAAUGGGCGCAAGCCUGAACGAGCAAUGCCGCGUGAACGAGGAAGGUCUUCGGAUCGUAAAGUUCUGUUGAGAGGGAAAAAUGGUCACCAGAGGAAAUGCUGGUGAAGUGAUAUUACCUUUCGAGGAAGUCACGGCUAACUACGUGCC
This 163-nucleotide ribosomal RNA is filed under the name uncultured bacterium. RNAcentral describes it as "partial 16S ribosomal RNA". It matches the Rfam family "Bacterial small subunit ribosomal RNA", at positions 355 to 509 of the family's 1533-position model. The record is from RNAcentral.